AAAGAUUCAAACAUACCAAACACACAAAUCAUUUAUGAUUACAUAAAAUUAAAGAGAGAGAAGAUAAAAUUGGAUCUCAAAAGCUUUCCAUUGACUUUAGAAGAGAAAAUAAGUUGGCUUGAAACCUCAAAGAAUACCAACAAUAUCGACUCCCCAAAUCAUUUAUGAACUUAUCACUGCGAUAAACCCAAAAUUUGAUUCAAAUUGAAAUCCACGAAGAACAAGAGACAAGCACCCAGUCACCCAAAAAAUCGAAACCCGUACACAAAAUCUCACCUAAUUCGACCCAAAUCUUGCCGGAACCAAACCAAAAGGAUCAAUAUAACACUGAUAUAACCCAUUAAAAUAAAUGAGAAUAAUCUUUAGAAUUUUUGCCCAUUAAACAGUAUGUUUUGCUGAAACAGAGUAAUAGGCGCCCGACUCAAUUGUUUUUCUAGCAAAACUCAUCAGAAAAUUGAUCAGCGGACAUGAAUCAACGGUGGAACUUGGUGUUGUUGGUGGUUUCGAGGUUCAGACACCAACCAAUAGCCCUUUUUUUGUGGUUUUGAAUGGAUUUUGUGAUGUUUUGAUGCAUUUUCGGUGAAGACGUUGCUGGAAUAGUAACAUGAACUUAUCUUUCUCCCUCAACCCCAUCUACCCCUUUUCUCUCUUGGUUACCCUCUUUCUCUCUUUGUUAAUCUCUCUUUGUUGCUCUGAAGGAGAAAAGAAAACCCCCUCAUCUUUACUGUGAAGUGUGUGGAGAGUCUUUAUUGUAGUAUGUGAGAGGUCUCAAUUGUGAAUGAUGCUGAUGGGGUCCC
This 797-nucleotide long non-coding RNA is filed under the name Capsicum annuum. RNAcentral describes it as "long non-coding RNA (CANN_LNC003583)". The record is from RNAcentral. Lineage: Eukaryota; Viridiplantae; Streptophyta; Magnoliopsida; Solanales; Solanaceae.